This 253-nucleotide ribosomal RNA is filed under the name uncultured bacterium. Its description in RNAcentral is "partial 16S ribosomal RNA". It matches the Rfam family "Bacterial small subunit ribosomal RNA", at positions 524 to 776 of the family's 1533-position model. The record is from RNAcentral.
UACGGAGGGGGCGAGCGUUGUCCGGAAUUAUUGGGCGUAAAGCGUCCGCAGGCGGCGAAUCAAGUCUGUUGUGAAAGCGCGGAGCUUAACUGCAAAGGUGCAAUGGAAACUGAGAGACUCGAGGACAGUAGGGGAGACGGGAAUUCCCAGUGUAGCGGUGAAAUGCGUAGAUAUCGGGAAGAACACCAGCGGCGAAGGCGGGCGACUGGACUGAGACUGACGCUGAGGGGCGAAAGCUAGGGGAGCGAAAGGG